Molecule: unclassified non-coding RNA, 1767 nt
Filed under: Pogonomyrmex barbatus (red harvester ant)
Lineage: Eukaryota; Metazoa; Arthropoda; Insecta; Hymenoptera; Formicidae
Description: tropomyosin, transcript variant X3
Source: RNAcentral
GGCCUACGUCGUCCUCGACGAUCUCGAGGAGCAUCGCGAGAAGGUGGGAGCCACGACGAAGCGAGCUCCGAAGCGCCUCUCCGUCGUCCGUCGCCCAGUCGUGACUUAGCCCGCAGGUCGGACGCAUCCCCGGACGGACGGAUACGAACAUUUUCUUCUAGUGGACGAGUGAAGAGACACAACUACCACCAUGGACGCGAUUAAGAAGAAGAUGCAGGGAAUGAAGCUGGAGAAGGACAACGCGAUGGAUCGCGCGUUGCUCUGCGAACAGCAAGCUCGUGAUGCAAACGCACGAGCUGAAAAGGCUGAAGAAGAGGCUCGUGCUCUGCAAAAGAAGAUCCAGACCAUCGAGAAUGAGCUUGACCAAACUCAGGAAGCUCUUAUGCAGGUCAAUGCAAAAUUGGAGGAGAAAGACAAGGCUCUGCAAAACGCUGAAUCUGAAGUCGCCGCCUUGAAUCGCCGUAUCCAACUGUUGGAGGAGGACCUCGAGAGAUCCGAGGAACGUCUUGCCACUGCCACUGCCAAAUUGGCGGAGGCAUCGCAAGCUGCCGAUGAGAGCGAACGCGCCCGCAAGAUUCUCGAGAAUCGCAGCUUGGCAGAUGAAGAGCGUAUGGACGCCCUCGAGAACCAGCUGAAGGAAGCCAGGUUCCUCGCCGAAGAAGCCGACAAGAAAUACGAUGAGGUCGCCCGUAAAUUGGCCAUGGUUGAGGCCGAUCUAGAACGCGCCGAGGAGCGUGCCGAGGCCGGAGAGUCCAAGAUUGUCGAGCUUGAAGAAGAAUUGCGUGUCGUCGGCAAUAACUUGAAGUCCCUCGAGGUCUCCGAGGAAAAGGCCAACCAGCGCGAGGAGGAAUACAAGAACCAAAUUAAGACCCUUACUACACGUCUAAAGGAGGCUGAGGCACGUGCCGAGUUCGCGGAGAGAUCCGUGCAGAAACUCCAGAAGGAAGUUGAUAGGCUCGAAGAUGAGAUGGUGACUGAAAAGGAAAAAUUCAAGGAGGUCGGGGACGGCCUGGAUAUGGCGUUUUUCGAACUCUAUGGCGUAUAACGCGGCUAUUAACUAUCCUCCUAACGCUUCAACAAAAAAAAAAAAAAAAAAAAAGAUACCGAUAGCCUUUCUUACAAAUCUAGCUUGCGCUUAACAAAUUUUCCACGAGCUUGUCCACGAGAAGGAAAAGUACAAAUACAUCUGCGACGACCUGGACCUCACCUUCACCGAAUUGGUUGGUUAAAUCGGCUAUCGAGUAUCCGCAUCCGCUGUCGAAUUAUUUGGUCGUGUACAUCAAUAUCAUGCGCCCGAUUCGAUCGCGAUCAAGUCAUGGCAUUGGCCACCCAAUGCGUAUUUCGUUAUUGUAAUUAAAAUCGAUGUACUAUAAAUACGUUCCGCGUUCAAUAUACUCCUUUUUUUUUAUUUAUCGACGACUCUACUUCUGGCUUUCGUGCGCAAUGGCAGCUGCUGAGCCGUGGUUAUUUAUUUAUUUAAUUAUUUAUUUCGAAAACUAUUUAGAUCAAAAUUAAGAACAGAAAUUCUAACAUAAUUCUAAUUGCAUUAUUUUGUUUUAAUAAUCAAGCACGAAGUAAGUAGAGCAAAAAAAGUACAGUACAUCUGAUAAUUCUGUAUGUAUUAUUAAUAGAAUAUUCUUGAGUUCUAAAACUUAAUUAUUUCCCAUCAUAAGUAACUUGCGACUUAUAAAACUGUUGAAAAACUGUAUAAGGCUAUUUUUGUUUCUAAUACUUCAGAGAAUAGGACAAUAAAGUUAUCAUAUAGAA